GUUGUAUGGUUAAGUGACUAAGCGUAUACGGUGGAUGCCUUGGCAGUUGGAGGCGAUGAAGGACGUACUAACUUGCGAUAAGCCUAGUUGAGCCAGUAAGAGGCGCUUGAGACUAGGAUUUCCGAAUGGGGAAACCCACCUGUUUACAGGUAUCAUAUGGUGAAUACAUAGCCAUAUGAGGCGAACGCGGAGAACUGAAACAUCUAAGUACCCGUAGGAAAAGAAAUCAACCGAGAUUCCGAAAGUAGCGGCGAGCGAAAUCGGAACAGCCCUUAAGCUGUUUUGUAAUUAGUGGAAGGCUCUGGAAAGUGCCACGAUACAGGGUGAUAGUCCCGUACACAAAAAUUUAUAAGCAGUGAAAUCGAGUAGGUCGGAGCACGUGAAACUUUGACUGAAUAUAGGUGGACCAUCAUCUACGGCUAAAUACUCCCAACUGACAGAUAGUGAACCAGUCCCGUGAGG
This 462-nucleotide ribosomal RNA is filed under the name Pseudoalteromonas citrea. RNAcentral's name for it is "partial 23S ribosomal RNA". It matches the Rfam family "Bacterial large subunit ribosomal RNA", at positions 1 to 508 of the family's 2925-position model. Lineage: Bacteria; Pseudomonadati; Pseudomonadota; Gammaproteobacteria; Alteromonadales; Pseudoalteromonadaceae. The record is from RNAcentral.